Molecule: long non-coding RNA, 223 nt
Organism: Amblyraja radiata (thorny skate)
Lineage: Eukaryota; Metazoa; Chordata; Chondrichthyes; Rajiformes; Rajidae
Exons: 3
Source: RefSeq, a predicted model, not a curated record
GAGAGGGUGUGGAAAUUGGGGGUAGAAUGAAAUUGAAUAAUUCAAUGUUCGUACUAUUGAAUUCUAAGCUACUCAAGCAGAAUAUGAGCCACAUUCGGAGCGCCAAACUACACAAUGAGCAGCAAAAGUCACAACUGAACUUGGAUGGCUGGAACUGAGUGUUUCAAGGCAGUUGGUAUCAGGUCAGCAGUUUUUCUUGUGCAUCAGUGAAUUGAACUCAAAU